Molecule: unclassified non-coding RNA, 346 nt
Filed under: soil metagenome
Description: partial contains 5.8S ribosomal RNA, internal transcribed spacer 2, and large subunit ribosomal RNA
Rfam family: 5.8S ribosomal RNA (bases 1-120)
Source: RNAcentral
GAUGAAGAACGUAGCGAAAUGCGAUACGUAAUGUGAAUUGCAGAAUUCAGUGAAUCAUCGAGUCUUUGAACGCACAUUGCGCCCCCUGGUAUUCCGGGGGGCAUGCCUGUCCGAGCGUCAUUGCUGCCCUCAAGCCCGGCUUGUGUGUUGGGUCUCGUCCCCCUUCCCGGGGGGCCGGGCCCGAAAGGCAGCGGCGGCACCGUGUCCGGUCCUCGAGCGUAUGGGGCUUUGUCACCCGCUCUGUAGGCCCGGCCGGCGCUUGCCGAUCAACCAAAACUUUUUUCCAGGUUGACCUCGGAUCAGGUAGGGAUACCCGCUGAACUUAAGCAUAUCAAUAAGCGGAGGA